This 429-nucleotide ribosomal RNA is filed under the name Gemmatimonadota bacterium. Its description in RNAcentral is "Gemmatimonadetes bacterium partial 16S ribosomal RNA". It matches the Rfam family "Bacterial small subunit ribosomal RNA", at positions 355 to 776 of the family's 1533-position model. The record is from RNAcentral. Lineage: Bacteria; Pseudomonadati; Gemmatimonadota.
UAGGGAAUCUUCGGCAAUGGACGAAAGUCUGACCGAGCAACGCCGCGUGAGUGAAGAAGGUUUUCGGAUCGUAAAACUCUGUUGUUAGAGAAGAACAAGGACGUUAGUAACUGAACGUCCCCUGACGGUAUCUAACCAGAAAGCCACGGCUAACUACGUGCCAGCAGCCGCGGUAAUACGUAGGUGGCAAGCGUUGUCCGGAUUUAUUGGGCGUAAAGCGAGCGCAGGCGGUUUCUUAAGUCUGAUGUGAAAGCCCCCGGCUCAACCGGGGAGGGUCAUUGGAAACUGGGAGACUUGAGAGCAGGAGAGGGGAGUUGACUUCCAUGUGUAGCGGUGAAAUGCGUAGAUAUAUGGAGGAACACCAGUGGCGAAGGCGGCGCUCUGGUCUGUAACUGACGCUGAGGCUCGAAAGCGUGGGGAGCAAACAGG